This 463-nucleotide ribosomal RNA is filed under the name uncultured Flavobacterium sp. RNAcentral's name for it is "bacterial SSU rRNA". It matches the Rfam family "Bacterial small subunit ribosomal RNA", at positions 335 to 795 of the family's 1533-position model. The record is from RNAcentral. Lineage: Bacteria; Pseudomonadati; Bacteroidota; Flavobacteriia; Flavobacteriales; Flavobacteriaceae.
UUUCCUACGGGGGGCAGCAGUGAGGAAUAUUGGUCAAUGGUCGCAAGACUGAACCAGCCAUGCCGCGUGCAGGAUGAAGCAUCUAUGGUGUGUAAACUGCUUUUGUACGGGAAGAAACACCUCUUCGGGAAGAGGCUUGACGGUACCGUAAGAAUAAGGAACGGCUAACUCCGUGCCAGCAGCCGCGGUAAUACGGAGGAAGCGAGCGGUAUCCGGAAUCAUUGGGUUUAAAGGGUCCGUAGGCGGUUUUGUAAGUCAGUGGUGAAAUCCGGCAGCUCAACUGUCGAACUGCCAUUGAUACUACAGGACUUGAAUUACUGUGAAGUAACUAGAAUAUGUAGUGUAGCGGUGAAAUGCUUAGAUAUUACAUGGAAUACCAAUUGCGAAGGCAGGUUACUAACAUUAUAUUGACGCUGAUGGACGAAAGCGUGGGGAGCGAACAGGAUUAGAUACCCUUGUAGUC